GAACAACACCAACAACAUCUUUGACAACUGGCUCAACUGAGUCCACCACCAGUUCCACAACAGAAAUAACUCCAUCAACAUCUGGGACCACCACUACAUCAGAAACGACACCAACAACUGAGACCACAACCAGCACUACAUCAGAAACGACACCAACAACUGAGAUCACCACCAGCACUAC
Molecule: long non-coding RNA, 181 nt
Organism: Leucoraja erinaceus (little skate)
Lineage: Eukaryota; Metazoa; Chordata; Chondrichthyes; Rajiformes; Rajidae
Exons: 4
Source: RefSeq, a predicted model, not a curated record